UCUCAUAAUAACAUCAUUUUUCCUUGUCCAACGUUUGAUCAUUCGUCUUAUUUGAUUUUUUUUUGCGAUUAAUAUUUUUAUUGUUACUAAAUGAUAAAAUUAAAAUAUGAAUAGUACUUUAUACGUGACUAAUUUUUUUAUGUUUUUGUACAAAUUUUUCAAAUAAGAUGAAUGGUCAAACGUUGAACACGGAAAA
RNAcentral lists this microRNA precursor (196 nucleotides) under Oryza brachyantha (malo sina). Its description in RNAcentral is "MIR812 microRNA precursor family". It matches the Rfam family "MIR812 microRNA precursor family". Lineage: Eukaryota; Viridiplantae; Streptophyta; Magnoliopsida; Poales; Poaceae. The record is from Rfam by way of RNAcentral.